CUCGCAAGAGUGUGGCGAACGGGUGAGUAACGCGUAGGAAUCUGCCUCAAUCCGGGAAAUACCCUCGCGAAAGCGGGGCUAAUGUCCCAUGUGCUCGCAAGAGUAAAGCUCCGGCGGAUUGAGAGGAGCCUGCGUCCUAUCAGCUUGUUGGUGAGGUAAAAGCUCACCAAGGCUAUGACGGGUAGGAGGUCUGAGAGGAUGACCUCCCACAAUGGCACUGAGACACGGGCCAUACACC
Molecule: ribosomal RNA, 238 nt
Filed under: uncultured bacterium
Lineage: Bacteria
Description: partial 16S ribosomal RNA
Rfam family: Bacterial small subunit ribosomal RNA
Source: RNAcentral